UUGAACGCUGGCGGCAUGCUUUACACAUGCAAGUCGAACGGUAACAGGUCUUCGGAUGCUGACGAGUGGCGAACGGGUGAGUAAUACAUCGGAACGUGCCCGAUCGUGGGGGAUAACGCAGCGAAAGCUGUGCUAAUACCGCAUACGAUCUACGGAUGAAAGCAGGGGACCGCAAGGCCUUGCGCGGACGGAGCGGCCGAUGGCAGAUUAGGUAGUUGGUGGGAUAAAAGCUUACCAAGCCGACGAUCUGUAGCUGGUCUGAGAGGACGACCAGCCACACUGGGACUGAGACACGGCCCAGACUCCUACGGGAGGCAGCAGUGGGGAAUUUUGGACAAUGGGGGCAACCCUGAUCCAGCCAUGCCGCGUGAGUGAAGAAGGCCUUCGGGUUGUAAAGCUCUUUCGGACGGAAAGAAACGGUCACGGCCAAUACCCGUGGCUAAUGACGGUACCGUCAGAAGAAGCACCGGCUAACUACGU
Molecule: ribosomal RNA, 480 nt
Filed under: uncultured bacterium
Lineage: Bacteria
Description: bacterial SSU rRNA
Rfam family: Bacterial small subunit ribosomal RNA
Source: RNAcentral